This 1301-nucleotide ribosomal RNA is filed under the name Salmonella enterica subsp. enterica serovar Enteritidis. Its description in RNAcentral is "partial 23S ribosomal RNA". It matches the Rfam family "Bacterial large subunit ribosomal RNA", at positions 161 to 1507 of the family's 2925-position model. The record is from RNAcentral. Lineage: Bacteria; Pseudomonadati; Pseudomonadota; Gammaproteobacteria; Enterobacterales; Enterobacteriaceae.
AAUCCAUAGGUUAAUGAGGCGAACCGGGGGAACUGAAACAUCUAAGUACCCCGAGGAAAAGAAAUCAACCGAGAUUCCCCCAGUAGCGGCGAGCGAACGGGGAGGAGCCCAGAGCCUGAAUCAGCAUGUGUGUUAGUGGAAGCGUCUGGAAAGGCGCGCGAUACAGGGUGACAGCCCCGUACACAAAAGCGCAUGUGCUGUGAGCUCGAUGAGUAGGGCGGGACACGUGGUAUCCUGUCUGAAUAUGGGGGGACCAUCCUCCAAGGCUAAAUACUCCUGACUGACCGAUAGUGAACCAGUACCGUGAGGGAAAGGCGAAAAGAACCCCGGCGAGGGGAGUGAAAAAGAACCUGAAACCGUGUACGUACAAGCAGUGGGAGCACCCUUUGGGUGUGACUGCGUACCUUUUGUAUAAUGGGUCAGCGACUUAUAUUCUGUAGCAAGGUUAACCGAAUAGGGGAGCCGGAGGGAAACCGAGUCUUAACCGGGCGUUAAGUUGCAGGGUAUAGACCCGAAACCCGGUGAUCUAGCCAUGGGCAGGUUGAAGGUUGGGUAACACUAACUGGAGGACCGAACCGACUAAUGUUGAAAAAUUAGCGGAUGACCUGUGGCUGGGGGUGAAAGGCCAAUCAAACCGGGAGAUAGCUGGUUCUCCCCGAAAGCUAUUUAGGUAGCGCCUCGUGAAUUCAUCUCCGGGGGUAGAGCACUGUUUCGGCUAGGGGGCCAUCCCGGCUUACCAACCCGAUGCAAACUGCGAAUACCGGAGAAUGUUAUCACGGGAGACACACGGCGGGUGCUAACGUCCGUCGUGAAGAGGGAAACAACCCAGACCGCCAGCUAAGGUCCCAAAGUCAUGGUUAAGUGGGAAACGAUGUGGGAAGGCCCAGACAGCCAGGAUGUUGGCUUAGAAGCAGCCAUCAUUUAAAGAAAGCGUAAUAGCUCACUGGUCGAGUCGGCCUGCGCGGAAGAUGUAACGGGGCUAAACCAUGCACCGAAGCUGCGGCAGCGACACUGUGUGUUGUUGGGUAGGGGAGCGUUCUGUAAGCCUGUGAAGGUGUGUCGUGAGGCAUGCUGGAGGUAUCAGAAGUGCGAAUGCUGACAUAAGUAACGAUAAAGCGGGUGAAAAGCCCGCUCGCCGGAAGACCAAGGGUUCCUGUCCAACGUUAAUCGGGGCAGGGUGAGUCGACCCCUAAGGCGAGGCCGAAAGGCGUAGUCGAUGGGAAACGGGUUAAUAUUCCCGUACUUGGUGUUACUGCGAAGGGGGGACGGAGAAGGCUAUGUUGGCCGGGCGACGGUUGUCC